RNAcentral lists this ribosomal RNA (939 nucleotides) under Microbacterium sp. RNAcentral describes it as "bacterial SSU rRNA". It matches the Rfam family "Bacterial small subunit ribosomal RNA", at positions 551 to 1489 of the family's 1533-position model. Lineage: Bacteria; Bacillati; Actinomycetota; Actinomycetes; Micrococcales; Microbacteriaceae. The record is from RNAcentral.
UUAUUGGGCGUAAGAGCUCGUAGGCGGUUUGUCGCGUCUGCUGUGAAAUCCCGAGGCUCAACCUCGGGUCUGCAGUGGGUACGGGCAGACUAGAGUGCGGUAGGGGAGAUUGGAAUUCCUGGUGUAGCGGUGGAAUGCGCAGAUAUCAGGAGGAACACCGAUGGCGAAGGCAGAUCUCUGGGCCGUUACUGACGCUGAGGAGCGAAAGGGUGGGGAGCAAACAGGCUUAGAUACCCUGGUAGUCCACCCCGUAAACGUUGGGAACUAGUUGUGGGGUCCAUUCCACGGAUUCCGUGACGCAGCUAACGCAUUAAGUUCCCCGCCUGGGGAGUACGGCCGCAAGGCUAAAACUCAAAGGAAUUGACGGGGACCCGCACAAGCGGCGGAGCAUGCGGAUUAAUUCGAUGCAACGCGAAGAACCUUACCAAGGCUUGACAUAUACGAGAACGGGCCAGAAAUGGUCAACUCUUUGGACACUCGUAAACAGGUGGUGCAUGGUUGUCGUCAGCUCGUGUCGUGAGAUGUUGGGUUAAGUCCCGCAACGAGCGCAACCCUCGUUCUAUGUUGCCAGCACGUAAUGGUGGGAACUCAUGGGAUACUGCCGGGGUCAACUCGGAGGAAGGUGGGGAUGACGUCAAAUCAUCAUGCCCCUUAUGUCUUGGGCUUCACGCAUGCUACAAUGGCCGGUACAAAGGGCUGCAAUACCGCGAGGUGGAGCGAAUCCCAAAAAGCCGGUCCCAGUUCGGAUUGAGGUCUGCAACUCGACCUCAUGAAGUCGGAGUCGCUAGUAAUCGCAGAUCAGCAACGCUGCGGUGAAUACGUUCCCGGGUCUUGUACACACCGCCCGUCAAGUCAUGAAAGUCGGUAACACCUGAAGCCGGUGGCCCAACCCUUGUGGAGGGAGCCAUCGAUGUGGAUCGGUAAUUAGGACGAAGUCGU